Molecule: RNA transcript, 557 nt
Organism: Dermacentor andersoni
Lineage: Eukaryota; Metazoa; Arthropoda; Arachnida; Ixodida; Ixodidae
Source: RefSeq, a predicted model, not a curated record
UACACGCCACACGCAGCCGAUGCAUGCGCCAUACGCGAGGCAUGCCACCGAAGCGAGUGAGGCCGUCUGCAAGCGUGAUCGCUCGUCUGUUCGGCGACCCGUCUUUUUCAUUUAAUUUUUCUUUAUUUUUUGAUGUAGCCUGGUUUUUGGGCUCCCGGAGAAAAUGCGUCCCUUCUGCACUUCGCCACGGCACCCCCGCGGUAUUGGAUUACGGCAAGGGGUGUUCAACCUGUGGACGUGCAACGUGGCAUAACGCAGAUGUCAUCGAAGCACUCUGCAGGAAGGCACAGCUUGUGGAAAGCACGGACGAUGGCCGGCAGCGCCUAACCGAUCGUGCCAUCAAGGCCGCAUUUCAUUCAGAUGGCUGUACACCUAAGGCACGUUUGCGCGCAAUGCGAUACUCAAUCGGACUGGCAAUCGGACUGGCAAAACCUACAUUUCCACCUAAAGCAUGAACAGUGCUUGUGAUUGUGCCCUUCUGUGCCUGUGACUGUUGUUGUGUCCGCAACUCAGUAGCCAUGCACAUUUGCUGAACAUAAAAGUGUGUCACACGUUAC